UACGGAGGGUGCAAGCGUUGUUCGGAAUUACUGGGUGUAAAGGGUUCGUAGGCGGUGUAGCAAGUCGGGAGUGAAAUCUCUGGGCUUAACCCAGAGGCUGCUUCCGAAACUGCUGUGCUUGAGUGUGGGAGAGGCGCGUGGAAUUGCAGGUGUAGCGGUGAAAUGCGUAGAUAUCUGCAGGAACACCCGUGGCGAAAGCGGCGCGCUGGACCACUACUGACGCUGAGGAACGAAAGCUAGGGGAGCAAACAGG
RNAcentral lists this ribosomal RNA (253 nucleotides) under uncultured bacterium. RNAcentral's name for it is "partial 16S ribosomal RNA". It matches the Rfam family "Bacterial small subunit ribosomal RNA", at positions 524 to 776 of the family's 1533-position model. The record is from RNAcentral.